CCCUGGACGUGCGGGGGUCCCAGUGGGCCGGCCGCGGCGUUUCGGCCCUGCCCUCUCGCUCCUCCGCUCGCUCCCUCCCUCCCGGCGCUCGGGGCCUUACGCGCGGGCCCGGCCCGGGGCAGGGCGGACAUGGGCGCCAAGCAGAGCGGCCCGGCCGCCGCUAACGGCCGUACCCGUGCGUACUCAGGCUCGGAUCUACCUUCCAGCAGCAGCGGAGGGGCCAGUGAGACCGCGGGCAGCGGCGGCGGGGCUCGGGAGGCGGCCGCGGGCAGGUUUCCGGCUCAGGUGCCUAGUGCACAUCAGCCCAGCGCUUCGGGCGGCGCAGCGGCGGCCUCGGCAGCCCCGCGCAGCCGCUCCCUCGGCGGGGCCGUGGGGAGCGUGGCGUCGGGGGCCCGAGCCGCGCAGUCCUCCUUCAGCAUCCCCAACAGCAGCAGCGGUCCGUACGGCUCGCAGGACUCGGUGCACAGCAGCCCCGAGGACGGCGGCGGCGGCGGCAGGGACCGGCCGGCGGGCGGGGGCCCCGGCGGGCCGCGCCUGGUGAUCGGCUCCCUCCCAGCUCACCUCUCGCCGCACAUGUUUGGAGGAUUUAAGUGCCCUGUAUGCUCAAAAUUUGUACCCUCUGAUGAAAUGGAUUUGCACCUUGUGAUGUGUUUAACAAAGCCAAGAAUAACCUAUAAUGAGGAUGUACUGAGUAAAGAUGCUGGGGAAUGUGCAAUAUGUCUUGAAGAAUUGCAGCAGGGAGAUACUAUAGCACGACUGCCUUGCCUAUGCAUAUAUCAUAAAAGUGUAAUCAAGAGCCAAGGGCAGGAACAGUGAAGAUACUCAUGAAAAAUACCAUGUUAGAGGAUUUGUCCUAUACACAUUUAUUGCAAGACUAUAUUAAGAUAGUAUGGAAAUGACCCAGCUGCAUAGAUGAAUGGUUUGAAGUAAAUAGAUCUUGUCCUGAGCACCCUUCAGAUUAAGCAUCAGAUUCCUGUUUUAUAGGAUGCUUGAAAAAUCUAGAGGAUUUGAGGAUCUGUCUCUGGAAAAACAAAAAUGCAGGCUUACUCAGCCAGAAAUCUGAGUUCUGUGAGACUUGGUAAUACAGAGAUGGACAAUCACACAAGAAAAAAGAAAAAACAUCCUGCUGAAGAGAGGACAGUAACCACAGAACUCAGUGUACCAAACUUGCAUAUAAGGGACACACAGGGAUUUUGAAAAUGCUGCACAUCCCUUAAUAGUCAUCUACAUAGGUAAUACUGAUGAACAUUUUGUAUUCAGACGCCAAAGUUAACUGAUUUAAAAGUUGAUUUACUUUUUAUUCAGUUCUCUAGAGCUGCGCAACUAGCUGUGUUUUGAUUUGUUUUGUUUUGUUUCUUUAAUUUGGGGUCUCUUUUAUUUCCCCCAACGUAAUGUUUUUGCAUUCACUUAUUCUUAAAUUGAAAAACCAUAUAAGUUACUUCUCAUAAAGUCUUAAAUGUGAAACCAAGAAAUGUAAUCAAGCAGUAAAACAUUCUCUGAAUGUAGACCAUGAUCUCAAGUUCUUCCAUUUUUUCCCCCAAGUGUGGAAAACUAAUUUCUACAUAGGAAAACUAAAAUAUGUUUGUUUUUAAAUUAAAGGUUUAAAUAUUAUCAGAAUGCUGCCCAAAGAAUAAAUCAAGUUACAUAAUUACAUUUUAAUUAAAUAAAUGUAGAAAUUGUCUACUGAAUUGUAGUUUAUAAAAUAUAUUGUUUCCUCUUAAAUAAAACUGCUCAACAUUUAAUCAGCAAUCAUCUUGCAGCUAUGCAACUUUUAAAAUAAUAUAAAUUAUUCAUUUUAAGUGCUGCCAGCUAUAAUAACUUUUGUUUUAACGGGUAUUUUUUUUUCUUUUUUCAUGUGAUUAUUUUAUUGUACUUUGCAUCUCCAGGCAGUUUUCCCACAUUUGGGUAAAAUGUGUAGCAGAGCAUAAGCUUAGAAUUUAUGAAAAAGAGUAAAACAGAAAUUUCUGAAGUGGAAGUUGGAAUAAUUUGAGGGGUAUUUUAUAUACCUUUAAACAUCAGGAUUUAAAAUUGGGAUGUCAGGUUUAUAGCAAUUCACACCUUUAAUUUUCCAGAUAAUCUGGAAGUUAACAUUUGAUAAAUGAUUUUUUAAAGCAAAUACAAAGAUUUUGUUCAUUUAUAAUUUAUUAAUGUGUUAUUACUCUUAUUGAAAAUGUUAGAGACUUUUAAAUUGAGCCUUGUGUAGAAAAAAUAAUGUAUUAAGCAAAAUUAUGUGAAUAAAUAUUCCCCCAAAAUAUAUCUGAAUGGUUAAAAAUACUGGAAGAGAGCUAUCAGGGCUACAAUAGUGAAUGUCUUUUAGAAAAAAAAAAUAUAUCAACAAUAAGUAGAUUUUGCAUUUUCAACAUAGGGAAAAUGUUAUCAGUAAAUAUUUAGGCAGUGCACUUUACUUAGUUUAAUUGAGAGUUGCACAAUACUGUUUCCUUAUUUUAAGCUCUCUUUAAUGUAUUUAAGUAUUUGCUUUUUAAUUUAACUCUGCUGCUCUUAUUUUCCUUUAGUUUGUUUCCCUACUCUAUUGCUUCUGUUUCAUACUUUCUAAAAGGGCAAGCACAGGAGCAACUGCUGCUACCCAGAAAAAUUUGUGUAUUAUGAAUAAUUAAAAUAAUUUUUAAUUGCUUUCUGUAUGAUUUCAAACUAGAUAACAUUUUCCCUCAAGUUAUGCUGUGAAAAAUGCCAUUUGUUAUGCUGCAAUUGCUGCAAAGAAUCCAAAACCUCCAUUGUGUCAGCCAACAGCACAGUUUCAUAGGUGCUUUUUUUUAGUAGUUGUAGAAAAUUAUUUUCCCUCAAGGGAAACAUUCUUAAAUUUUUUUCAUAAAAUCUUAGUUUGAAUUUAUUUCACAUUUUCAAUUGUGUAAGCUUUUGCACCCUCCCCUCAUGUACUCCCCCAAGGAAAGCCUCUUAGACUGUGAAUAAUUAAUUUGUUUUCUACUACUGGUAUAUUGUGAUAAGAAUUACUUUGUUGUCUUCCAUUCUUAAGAGAUUUAUUAUAGCUGUGGUAAUUAAUUGUUUAUAUUCUGGCAGUUGAUUUUCUGAUAUAGCUUACUUGUAAACUUUACUUUUUGAACUGUACCGGCUUAAGUUCACUUUUCCUUGUUUACCUUGUCCCAUAUUCUCAGUCUUAAUAAUUUAGCCUAUGUCUAUCAUAAGGCUGUGUGCUGCAGCUGCUACAAUUGAAGCUCCUGGGAUUUUAAAGAAAGUUUAGUGUUUGUCACUGUCGAUGCUACUUGAUUAUUAAUGUUUGUAUAUAGAAAUUUUUACUGAAAUCUGUUUAAAACAAUCCCUUUUUGUUAACAUUUACAAAGUUGUUAUUUUUAUUUUAAAUUCAAUCUCUAAUGACUUCUUAGAAUGAAGAAUUUAGGGAAAAGGAGGCGGGAGGAGGGGUAAGCUCAAAUGCUCCAGUUUUUAUUCAAAAUCAAAGUUAUUCUGGAAAAUACUAUAAGUGUUAUUCUAUAAUAUCUCUUAUAAUAUUUGCAGUCUGUAUGCAAACACUGAAUAGUAUAAGUGGGACAUAAAAUUAUGUUGGAUAUUUAAAUAUUCAGCUGAAACUACUGAACACUAAAUAUUAUGGAAAUUAAAAGCCUGGAUUAUCAAGUUGGUUUAUAGCUUUCUAGAAGAAUCUUUGUAAGUACUCAUCUUCAAAUAAGGUUACAUGUGCAUAUAUAGAAAGCAAUAUGUUUUUAAAUUUCACUUUAGUGCCACUUUUUGUCCAUAAUGGAUUUAUUGCCAAUUUGUCAUACUACUUUGAUCCAUCUUUUUUUUUUCUGUUUGCCAGAAUGUUUAAAACAGAAAAAUUGUUUUGUCUGACUCUUUACCAGAGAAAUAGUAGACUAACUAUAGUCUUCAUAUGUUUUGCAGAUUUAGUUACAAAUCAUAUUAUAUAUUGUUUUAAGAGCCAUGUUUAAGAUUGAAAUAUAAACAAUUGUUUCUAUAACUGAUUUUUGGUGAUAAAAGAAACAUUGAAAAGUCAUGUCGUUAACUGCUGCAUAAUAUAUAGGUUUUGGUUUCUUAAGUGCAAAUCUUAUAUUUCUUUUAAAUGUUGUAUGAUUAUUUCAGUUUUUGCCCACUAGAAUGUAGCCCCAAAAUGAUGAGGACCACCUUAGCAUAUCUGCAGUAUAUAUUAGAUUUCAUUUUCAAUGAGUUAAUGAAAAUGGAAGAAUUCUUUUCAAAGCUUAUUUGACUCAUGGCUGUGUUUCUAAGUAAGGAUAUGGUGAAGUUUAAGGGCAAUCAUUUAGAUAUUAUAGCAAGACAUAGGGUUAUUCCUUUAAGUGAAAAAUACUGUAAAUUCAAUGUAAAUACUAUCUACUUUUAUGUACUGACUUGGAGAGUGGAAGAUGGGAAUUUUCUCAACAGUAAGCUACAUUUGAACAAAGCAUGAAACUUUUUUAAAAUUCAAGAAUAAUUGGAUUUAUCACCUAAUUUAUACCCACACUAUGCAUUGGUAAUAAUAUCCAAAUUAUCUUAUUCUUUCACAGAGGAAGUUUCCAUUUAAAUCAGAGUGUUGGAAACUGUGUAAAACUACUUAGAAGUAAAUGGUGCUUAUUAAAUAUGAGUACAAUUUGUUAGUUGCUAGAAGUCUUCUAGUUCAUUUGGGCCAUUUUCUUGCAAUUUUGAUUUAUACUGAAGUAAACUCAGUAUAUAGUAAUAAUGAGUAAUUAAACAUGAAGUGUCAUUUGUUCACUGUACCUUGUUAUUAUACAGAUAUUUUCUUAGUUUAAAACAAAAACAAAAAAACUAGCAUGUCUGUGCUUUGUUUUUGGCCCAUCCUCCUAUUUUUCCUAAGGUACGUAACUUCCGAUAUAUAUAUUUUUUGCAAUGUUGUAAAUAACAGUGAUUAUAUUAUUCAUUUUACUAUCUACUGUCUUUCCUUCUUUACCCAGAUCUUUUCAUUGUAAAACUGAGUUGCCACUUGGUUUUCUUAAAAGGAAAGUGCUACUUGGUAUACUACAAGUAGUGAUUCAUAUUCAGGACAGCUGGUAAAACAUUUUUGGUAAUAACUUCCCAAACAGUACUUGAGUACCAUAUUCUGUGAAUGCUGUGCUUAAGCUAGGAAACAGAAUGUUUUUUCAAUCACCCAAUUCCUGUAUUAAAUGGGAAAUACCUGAACUCCUAAGUUAACUGUGGACAGUAAAAGGCUUUGACAAAACCAGGUGUAUUUAAUUAUUUAAUUUUAGCUGAAAAUGCAAUGUUACUGUACUUAGAGGAAUUGUUUGAUUUUCAGUUAUUUAAGCCAUUAUUAAUUUUAGACCAAUGGCUAAUAAUGAGAUAGAUUUUUGUUCAUAGAGAGAGAAUAGCAUGACAUGAACUAACAUUUCAGAAAUAAAUGGAAACAUUUUAAGUGAUACUAUAGUAACUUUUAACCACACUAUGUUUCUUAGCUCUGCCCUAGACAGUGAGGUGUACCUGUCACGGACACUGCCUCUUGGCAUCAGAAGUGACUGAGUUCUUCUGUAAUUAAAUGUUCAUGCUUUCCUUUUCUGAUUUGGUAUGUUGAAAUUGGUGAGCACUGAUCAUUUGUUUGAUAAACUUACAGUGCUGCCUUGUAUCCUGUUAUCAGUAAACUUGGUUUCAGUAUUUUGAAAAUGUUUGAUUAUUAUUCGAUUUUGAGUAUUUGGGUGCAUAUAAUAGAGUUAGCAUACUCUAGAGGGAGAUACAAAAAGUACAUUGGAAUUUGAUGAUGAUACUGAUUAUCACUUCAUUACAUUUCUUUCCAGUGACUCUUUAUGUGAGUUUCAUUGUUUGAAAAUCAUGGUAAUGAUAGGAAUUUAUUUACCUCUGUUGUUUUAUUGCUUUAUCCAUGGUUUCCACAACUCUUUUGUAAUACCUCUUAAUUUCCUCUAUUUGAAAGUAUUUUUCUGUUAAAUAAGUUACAAAAAGUACCAGUCACAACAAAUAGAGAAAAUGUAUUAGGAACAACUUGUAUUAGUGUGUUCUAAACUAAAAUGGAACAAUUCAUUAUUGAUAUUUUAAUAAAUAAACUUCCAAAUGA
Molecule: RNA transcript, 6001 nt
Organism: Marmota monax (woodchuck)
Lineage: Eukaryota; Metazoa; Chordata; Mammalia; Rodentia; Sciuridae
Gene: Znrf2
Gene name: zinc and ring finger 2
Exons: 6
Source: RefSeq, a predicted model, not a curated record